UACGUAGGGUGCAAGCGUUGUCCGGAAUUAUUGGGCGUAAAGAGCUCGUAGGCGGUCUGUCGCGUCGGCUGUGAAAACCCGGGGCUCAACCCCGGGCCUGCAGUCGAUACGGGCAGACUAGAGUGCGGUAGGGGAGACUGGAAUUCCUGGUGUAGCGGUGAAAUGCGCAGAUAUCAGGAGGAACACCGGUGGCGAAGGCGGGUCUCUGGGCCGUAACUGACGCUGAGGCACGAAAGUGUGGGGAUCAAACAGG
This 253-nucleotide ribosomal RNA is filed under the name uncultured bacterium. Its description in RNAcentral is "partial 16S ribosomal RNA". It matches the Rfam family "Bacterial small subunit ribosomal RNA", at positions 524 to 776 of the family's 1533-position model. The record is from RNAcentral.